RNAcentral lists this ribosomal RNA (388 nucleotides) under uncultured bacterium. RNAcentral describes it as "bacterial SSU rRNA". It matches the Rfam family "Bacterial small subunit ribosomal RNA", at positions 28 to 419 of the family's 1533-position model. The record is from RNAcentral.
GACGAACGCUGGCGGCGUGCUUAACACUGCAAGUCGAGCGGUAAGGCCCUUUCGGGGGUACACGAGCGGCGAACGGGUGAGUAACACGUGGGUGACCUGCCCUCAGCUCUGGGAUAAGCCUGGGAAACCGGGUCUAAUACCGGAUAUGACUCCAUGACGCAUGUUGUGGGGUGGAAAGCCUUGUGCGGCUGAGGAUGGGCCCGCGGCCUAUCAGCUUGUUGGUGGGGUGAUGGCCACCAAGGCGACGACGGGUAGCCGGCCUGAGAGGGCGACCGGCCACACUGGGACUGAGACACGGCCCAGACUCCUACGGGAGGCAGCAGUGGGGAAUCUUGCGCAAUGGGCGAAAGCCUGACGCAGCGACGCCGCGUGAGGGAUGACGGCCUCG